Molecule: ribosomal RNA, 460 nt
Filed under: uncultured bacterium
Lineage: Bacteria
Description: partial 16S ribosomal RNA
Rfam family: Bacterial small subunit ribosomal RNA
Source: RNAcentral
CCUACGGGAGGCAGCAGUGAGGAAUAUUGGUCAAUGGGCGCGAGCCUGAACCAGCCAAGUAGCGUGAAGGAUGACUGCCUUACGGGUUGUAACCUCUUUUUAUAAAGGAAUAAAGUGAGGCACGUGUGCCUUUUUGUAUGUACUUUAUGAAUAAGGAUCGGCUAACUCCGCGCCAGCAGCCGCGGUAAUACGGAGGAUCCGAGCGUUAUCCGGAUUUAUUGGGUGUAAAGGGAGCGUAGAUGGGUUGUUAAGUCAGUUGUGAAAGUUUGCGGCUCAACCGUAAAAUUGCAAUUGAUACUGGCAGUCUGGAGUACAGUUGAGGUAGGCGGAAUUCGUGGUGUAGCGGUGAAAUUCUUAGAUAUCACGAAGAACUCCGAUUGCGAAGGCGACUUACUAAACUGCCACUGACAUUGAUGCUCGAAAGUGUGGGUAGCAAACAGGAUUAGAUACCCGAGUAGUC